GUGUAAGUCCCGUGAGGGAUUCAGCUGACCGGUACUAAUAGGUCGAGGGCUUGACCUG
Molecule: ribosomal RNA, 58 nt
Filed under: Peptococcaceae bacterium BRH_c4b
Lineage: Bacteria; Bacillati; Bacillota; Clostridia; Eubacteriales; Peptococcaceae
Description: partial 23S ribosomal RNA
Source: RNAcentral